Molecule: ribosomal RNA, 808 nt
Filed under: uncultured bacterium
Lineage: Bacteria
Description: bacterial SSU rRNA
Rfam family: Bacterial small subunit ribosomal RNA
Source: RNAcentral
GGGUGAGUAAUGUAUCGGAACGUGCCCAGUAGCGGGGGAUAACCACUCGAAAGAGUGGCUAAUACCGCAUACGCCCUACGGGGGAAAGGGGGGGAUCGCAAGACCUCUCACUAUUGGAGCGGCCGAUAUCGGAUUAGCUAGUUGGUGAGGUAAAGGCUCACCAAGGCUGCGAUCCGUAGCUGGUUUGAGAGGACGACCAGCCACACUGGGACUGAGACACAGCCCAGACUCCUACGGGAGGCAGCAGUGGGGAAUUUUGGACAAUGGGGGCAACCCUGAUCCAGCCAUCCCGCGUGUGCGAUGAAAGCCUUCGGGUUGUAAAGCACUUUUGGCAGGGAAGAAAAGGCGCUGGCUAAUACCUGGCGCUGCUGACGGUACCUGCAGAAUAAGCACCGGCUAACUACGUGCCAGCAGCCGCGGUAAUACGUAGGGUGCAAGCGUUAAUCGGAAUUACUGGGCGUAAAGCGUGCGCAGGCGGUUCGGCGAGAAGGAUGUGAAAUCCCGGGGCUUAACCUCGGAACUGCAUUCUUAACUGCCGGGCUAGAGUAUAUCAGAGGGGGGUAGAAUUCCACGUGUAGCAGUGAAAUGCGUAGAGAUGUGGAGGAAUACCGAUGGCGAAGGCAGCCCCCUGGGAUAAUACUGACGCUCAUGCACGAAAGCGUGGGGAGCAAACAGGAUUAGGUACCCUGGUAGUCCACGCCCUAAACGAUGUCAACUAGCUGUUGGGGCCUUCGGGCCUUAGUAGCGCAGCUAACGCGUGAAGUUGACCGCCUGGGGAGUACGGUCGCAAGAUUAAAACUCAAAGGAA